GUAGUCUCGCACAGAUGCAUAUCAAUAAGCGGAGGAAAAGAAACUAACAAGGAUUCCCUUAGUAACGGCGAGUGAAGCGGGAAGAGCUCAAAUUUGAAAUCUUCAAGGUUUUACCUUGACGAAUUGUAGUUUAAAGAAGUGUUUUCUGUUGAAGUUUUGGUAAAAGUUCUUUGGAAUAGGACAUCAUAGAGGGUGAGAAGUCCCGUAUUUGACCAUUAUUUUCAGCUGUGUGAUACACUUUCAAAGAGUCGGAUUGUUUGGGAAUGCAGUCCAAAAUGGGUGGUUAAUUUCAUCUAAAGCUAAAUAUUGGCGAGAGACCGAUAGCGAACAAGUACCGUGAGGGAAAGAUGAAAAGAACUUUGAAAAGAGAGUUAAACAGUACGUGAAAUUGUCAAAAGGGAAGCGUUUGACACCAGUGUUGUUUUCUCGAAAAUCAAUUAAAAAGAGUUAGAUUUUGUUGUGUAUUGACCUUAACAGCUUGCAUUUCAAUUUUCUUGCUUUUUUUAAUGCACUUUUCGUUUAACAAGUCAACAUCAGUUUCUUUUGUUGUAAAAAGGUCAUUGGAAGGUGGCUUUCUUUUCGGAGAAAGUGUUUAUUAGCCUUUGACUCCUGCAAUCGGAGAGACUGAGGUCUGCAGCGUAGAUCCUUCGGGGUUAGAUACAUUUGUGCUAAGUUAUAGCUUUUUAUAGACAACUUGUUGACUAUGAUUAGUCUUGUAGCUUACUCGCUUAUGCUAUUUUACCUACGCUUAGGAUGUUGAGCGCAUGUCUCUCUCU
RNAcentral lists this ribosomal RNA (776 nucleotides) under uncultured Neocallimastigales. Its description in RNAcentral is "partial large subunit ribosomal RNA". It matches the Rfam family "Eukaryotic large subunit ribosomal RNA", at positions 24 to 616 of the family's 3401-position model. The record is from RNAcentral. Lineage: Eukaryota; Fungi; Neocallimastigomycota; Neocallimastigomycetes; Neocallimastigales.